RNAcentral lists this long non-coding RNA (478 nucleotides) under Homo sapiens (human). RNAcentral describes it as "non-protein coding lnc-PCM1-4:2". Lineage: Eukaryota; Metazoa; Chordata; Mammalia; Primates; Hominidae. The record is from RNAcentral.
CGCUCGUCCCCGCAGGAGCCCGGGGCUCCGCCGCACCCAGCGCUAGGGCCCAGGCCGGGCCGCGGCAUCUAGAACACUGAGAAAUCCAGGAUGGACACUUAACACUACCAAAGAUUGAUCUAUUUUGGAGUUAGUUCUUUAGAUCAGAGGUCCCCAACCCCAGGACUGCGGACUGCCACUGGUCUUUGGCCUGUCAGGCACCCGGCCACACAGCUGGAGUGUGAAAAAAAAGGAAAAAACUGAAAAUCUCAAGAGGAUUCCAGGAAAUCAAAACAAUGAAUUAUUGAAUCAAGAAUUUGAAAGAGAAAAUAGAUGCAUACUGAAAAAAGAAUUUUGUUUAGUGAGAUAGAUGUAAUAAUGAAGGCAUGUUGAUAACGGGGGAGCUAUGUAUAUAUGAGGGGAGGGAUAUAUUGGAAAUCUCUGUAUCUUCCUCUCAAUCUUGCUGUGAUCCUAAAACUGCUCUAAAAAAUAUUUUGAG